Molecule: ribosomal RNA, 1440 nt
Filed under: uncultured organism
Description: 16S ribosomal RNA
Rfam family: Bacterial small subunit ribosomal RNA
Source: RNAcentral
CAGGCUUAACACAUGCAAGUCGAGGGGCAUCAGGAAGAAAGCUUGCUUUCUUUGCUGGCGACCGGCGCACGGGUGAGUAACACGUAUCCAACCUGCCCUUUACUCGGGGAUAGCCUUUCGAAAGAAAGAUUAAUACCCGAUAGCAUAAUGAUUCCGCAUGGUUUCAUUAUUAAAGGAUUCCGGUAAAGGAUGGGGAUGCGUUCCAUUAGGUUGUUGGUGAGGUAACGGCCCACCAAGCCUUCGAUGGAUAGGGGUUCUGAGAGGAAGGUCCCCCACAUUGGAACUGAGACACGGUCCAAACUCCUACGGGAGGCAGCAGUGAGGAAUAUUGGUCAAUGGGCGCUAGCCUGAACCAGCCAAGUAGCGUGAAGGAUGAAGGCUCUAUGGGUCGUAAACUUCUUUUAUAUAAGAAUAAAGUGCAGUAUGUAUACUGUUUUGUAUGUAUUAUAUGAAUAAGGAUCGGCUAACUCCGUGCCAGCAGCCGCGGUAAUACGGAGGAUCCGAGCGUUAUCCGGAUUUAUUGGGUUUAAAGGGAGCGUAGGUGGACUGGUAAGUCAGUUGUGAAAGUUUGCGGCUCAACCGUAAAAUUGCAGUUGAUACUGUCAGUCUUGAGUACAGUAGAGGUGGGCGGAAUUCGUGGUGUAGCGGUGAAAUGCUUAGAUAUCACGAAGAACUCCGAUUGCGAAGGCAGCUCACUGGACUGCAACUGACACUGAUGCUCGAAAGUGUGGGUAUCAAACAGGAUUAGAUACCCUGGUAGUCCACACAGUAAACGAUGAAUACUCGCUGUUUGCGAUAUACAGUAAGCGGCCAAGCGAAAGCAUUAAGUAUUCCACCUGGGGAGUACGCCGGCAACGGUGAAACUCAAAGGAAUUGACGGGGGCCCGCACAAGCGGAGGAACAUGUGGUUUAAUUCGAUGAUACGCGAGGAACCUUACCCGGGCUUAAAUUGCAGUGGAAUGAUGUGGAAACAUGUCAGUGAGCAAUCACCGCUGUGAAGGUGCUGCAUGGUUGUCGUCAGCUCGUGCCGUGAGGUGUCGGCUUAAGUGCCAUAACGAGCGCAACCCUUAUCUUCAGUUACUAACAGGUCAUGCUGAGGACUCUGGAGAGACUGCCGUCGUAAGAUGUGAGGAAGGUGGGGAUGACGUCAAAUCAGCACGGCCCUUACGUCCGGGGCUACACACGUGUUACAAUGGGGGGUACAGAAGGCAGCUAGCGGGUGACCGUAUGCUAAUCCCAAAAGCCUCUCUCAGUUCGGAUCGAAGUCUGCAACCCGACUUCGUGAAGCUGGAUUCGCUAGUAAUCGCGCAUCAGCCACGGCGCGGUGAAUACGUUCCCGGGCCUUGUACACACCGCCCGUCAAGCCAUGGGAGCCGGGGGUACCUGAAGUACGUAACCGCAAGGAUCGUCCUAGGGUAAAACUGGUGACUGGGGCUAAGU